ACUUGGUGGCGCCACCUAUCGGCGAUAAUGUGAACUAACUUCGAUCUCAAUCCUGUUUCUCAACCAUGUAAAAUCCUCUCAAAUCGAUCCUUCGCUCAUUUAUAUUCUCUCUCCUCCCUCUUACUGUCAAUGAACCUGUUUUUACGAUUGGUCCCGUGUUGCGAUUCAAACAACCCUCAAACAGCAAAGUGCCUAUAUAAUAACUACUCACAGCUAACAGCUAGGACAUAAACUAGUAAUCUUUCAACAACGAUGGAUGACCUUGAAAUCAUUUUUAUCGAUUCCCAACCGGAAUCAACCAUAAAUCUGGACUCUCAGCCGAGCUCCGUAGACCUGUCCUUGAUUUUUGGGAUUAAGACUCAAACCUAUCUCGAGAGCAACUUGACCUGGUUAAGUGACAUUAAAUGGGAUGAUGACGACGAUGACCCAA
This is a long non-coding RNA of Drosophila pseudoobscura, 430 nucleotides long. RefSeq lists it as uncharacterized. The transcript has 2 exons. NCBI's taxonomy places the organism in Eukaryota, Metazoa, Arthropoda, Insecta, Diptera, Drosophilidae. The record is from RefSeq and is a predicted model, not a curated record.